This 492-nucleotide ribosomal RNA is filed under the name uncultured bacterium. Its description in RNAcentral is "partial 16S ribosomal RNA". It matches the Rfam family "Bacterial small subunit ribosomal RNA", at positions 28 to 507 of the family's 1533-position model. The record is from RNAcentral.
GGCGAACGCUGGCGGUAGGCCUAACACAUGCAAGUCGAACGGGUGCACAGUAAGAGCUUGCUCUUACGGGUGGCGAGUGGCGGACGGGGGAGGAGUACAUCGGAAUCUACUUUUUCGUGGGGGAUAACGUAGGGCAACUUACGCUAAUACCGCAUACGACCUACGGGUGAAAGCAGGGGAUCUUCGGACCUUGCGCGAUUGAAGGAGCCGAUGUCGGAUUAGCUAGUUGGCGGGGUAGAGGCCCACCAAGGCGAGGAGCAGUAGCUGGUCUGAGGGGAGGAUCAGCCAGACGGGAACAGAGACCGGGUCCAGACUCCGACGGUAGGCAGCAGUCGGGAAUCUUAGGGGAGGGAGGAGAGGCUGAUACAGCAAAACCGCGGGGAGGAAGAUGGAGUUCGGGUGGUAGAGCCAUGUUGUUGGGAAAGAAGUGCAGCAGGUUAAUACCGGGCGGUUAUGACGGUACCCAAAGAAUAAGCACCGGCUAACUUCGUG